GACGAACGCUGGCGGCGUGCUUAACACAUGCAAGUCGUACGGUAAGGCCCUUUCGGGGGUACACGAGUGGCGAACGGGUGAGUAACACGUGAGUAACCUGCCCACAACUUUGGGAUAACGCUAGGAAACUGGUGCUAAUACUGGAUAUGUGCUCCUGCUGCAUGGUGGGGGUUGGAAAGCUCCGGCGGUUGUGGAUGGACUCGCGGCCUAUCAGCUUGUUGGUGGGGUAGUGGCCUACCAAGGCGGCGACGGGUAGCCGGCCUGAGAGGGUGACCGGCCACAUUGGGACUGAGAUACGGCCCAGACUCCUACGGGAGGCAGCAGUGGGGAAUACUGCACAAUGGGCGCAAGCCUGAUGCAGCAACGCCGCGUGCGGGAUGACGGCCUUCGGGUUGUAAACCGCUUUCAGCAGGGACGAAGCUUUUUGUGACGGUACCUGCAGAAGAAGCACCGGCUAACUACGUG
RNAcentral lists this ribosomal RNA (465 nucleotides) under uncultured bacterium. RNAcentral describes it as "partial 16S ribosomal RNA". It matches the Rfam family "Bacterial small subunit ribosomal RNA", at positions 28 to 507 of the family's 1533-position model. The record is from RNAcentral.